This 648-nucleotide ribosomal RNA is filed under the name uncultured bacterium. RNAcentral's name for it is "bacterial SSU rRNA". It matches the Rfam family "Bacterial small subunit ribosomal RNA", at positions 21 to 669 of the family's 1533-position model. The record is from RNAcentral.
GGCCGCGGGAAUUCCUUUCAGGCCUAACACAUGCAAGUCGAACGGGAUCCCUGCCUUCUUGCUGCCGGGGUGAGAGUGGCGAACGGGUGAGUAAUGCGUGACCGACCUGCCCCAUGCACCGGAAUAGCUCCUGGAAACGGGUGGUAAUGCCGGAUGUUCCACAUGUGCGCAUGCGAGUGUGGGAAAGGCUUUUUGCGGCAUGGGAUGGGGUCGCGUCCUAUCAGCUUGUUGGUGGGGUAACGGCCUACCAAGGCGUUGACGGGUAGCCGGCCUGAGAGGGCGACCGGCCACAUUGGGACUGAGAUACGGCCCAGACUCCUACGGGAGGCAGCAGUGGGGAAUAUUGCACUUUGGGCGCAAGCCUGAUGCAGCGACGCCGCGUGCGGGAUGGAGGCCUUCGGGUUGUAAACCGCUUUUGUUCAAGGGCAAGGCACGGUUUCGGCCGUGUUGAGUGGAUUGUUCGAAUAAGCACCGGCUAACUACGUGCCAGCAGCCGCGGUAAUACGUAGGGUGCAAGCGUUAUCCGGAUUUAUUGGGCGUAAAGGGCUCGUAGGCGGUUCGUCGCGUCCGGUGUGAAAGUCCAUCGCUUAACGGUGGAUCCGCCCCGGGUACCGGCGGGCUUGAGUGCGGUAGGGGAGACUGGAAUUC